ACUUACCAACCCGAUGCAAACUGCGAAUACCGGAGAAUGUUAUCACGGGAGACACACGGCGGGUGCUAACGUCCGUCGUGAAGAGGGAAACAACCCAGACCGCCAGCUAAGGUCCCAAAGUCAUGGUUAAGUGGGAAACGAUGUGGGAAGGCCCAGACAGCCAGGAUGUUGGCUUAGAAGCAGCCAUCAUUUAAAGAAAGCGUAAUAGCUCACUGGUCGAGUCGGCCUGCGCGGAAGAUGUAACGGGGCUAAACCAUGCACCGAAGCUGCGGCAGCGACGCUUAUGCGUUGUUGGGUAGGGGAGCGUUCUGUAAGCCUGCGAAGGUGUGCUGUGAGGCAUGCUGGAGGUAUCAGAAGUGCGAAUGCUGACAUAAGUAACGAUAAAGCGGGUGAAA
RNAcentral lists this ribosomal RNA (395 nucleotides) under Escherichia coli. RNAcentral's name for it is "partial 23S ribosomal RNA". It matches the Rfam family "Bacterial large subunit ribosomal RNA", at positions 934 to 1326 of the family's 2925-position model. Lineage: Bacteria; Pseudomonadati; Pseudomonadota; Gammaproteobacteria; Enterobacterales; Enterobacteriaceae. The record is from RNAcentral.